Molecule: ribosomal RNA, 283 nt
Filed under: uncultured bacterium
Lineage: Bacteria
Description: partial 16S ribosomal RNA
Rfam family: Bacterial small subunit ribosomal RNA
Source: RNAcentral
AACGUGCCCAAUCGUGGGGGAUAACGUAGAGAAAUUUACGCUAAUACCGCAUACGAUCUAAGGAUGAAAGCGGGGGAUUCGCAAGAACCUCGCGCGAUUGGAGCGGCUGAUAUCAGAUUAGGUUGUUGGUGAGGUAAAAGCUCACCAAGCCGACGAUCUGUAGCUGGUUUGAGAGAACGACCAGCCACACUGGGACUGAGACACGGCCCAGACUCCUACGGGAGGCAGCAGUGGGGAAUUUUGGACAAUGGGCGAAAGCCUGAUCCAGCAAUGCCGCGUGUGG